AGCGAUACUACCUUAGAUCUUCUACGCGUGCUUCGAGGGAGCACUCCAUGGAUGAGUCUAAGGACCAGUGUGAUCACGAGUUGUGGACCGAUGGAUUGGAGGAGAUGUUCGUAGACAUCCUCUACCAAGAGACCAUUGAAGGAAAAUUGGUUGGGUCAAAGAUCACCAACCGAGAUCAUCUGAGACUUUCAGAACAGCUGUCUUGAGUUGGGAGGAAGGCAAUUGAUGCGUCACAAAUUGGGAGAAAAAUCACUCGCUUGAGGCAGAGGCUAUGACUGUUCACAGAUUUAAUGAGCCAAACAGGAAUGGGUUGGAACCCACAGACAAAAACUGUAAUUUCCACGGACGAACAUUGGGCAAACACAAUAAAGAAUGGAUGUUGGAAGUGGGUCAUAUGAUGAGCCGCAAGUAGAGGCAAACAACACCACUGAAGCUGGUUCAAGUGGUAACCAGCCUCCAAGGUGGGAUGAUUACGAAGCUUGGAGGAGACAUGAUAUAUCUAGUAGUAACCAGCCUCCAAUGUGGGAUGAAUACCUACGUUCGAGGAUGUGUGAUGAUUCGAUGUGGGAUAACAUGUUUAUGCUUACAAUAGUAGCAGCAGAGGAAAGCGCAUUGCCAAAGUUUGAGCGAAUGACAGAACAUAAUAUCGGCUUACGUGGACGAGACUAUAUAGUUGCAAUUCUCAAUGGACAUCCGAAUAACUGUUGGAACUUAUUUCGGAUGGAAAUAUAUACAUUUGAAGCGUGAAUGAAUAUCUAACAUCGACAAGAGAGGUUUCUGUGGAGGAAGCUUUGGCAAUGUUUGCAUACACAGUCGCACACGCCCAAGUUCAACGAAUCACAGGUGACUAGUUUCAACACUCUACUGAAACCGUUAAUCGGCAUGUCUAUGCAAUGAUGCUUGCCCUAUGUCAUUUUGCUCCUGAUGUGAUUGCACCUACACAUACUACUGGGAUGGCACCUUAUAUUCAAGGCAAUCCAACACAUUAUCUAUGGUUCGAGGUAACAAUUUCUUACUCUGGUUUAAAGAAAAUAAAAUAUAUGGUUGAAAAUUAAGAGACCAUGGUUGGUCCCAUUUUAUUAAAAAUGGCAAAACUCACAAUUUUACAAUAUAUGAUUACAUAAAUGUUAUGGUACAAUUGACGGGACUUAUAUCGAUUCAUGUGUGCCUGCCGAGGCAACUAAUGCGUAUCUAUCUCGUUAUCAACAAGUUAGCCAAAAUGUGCUAGCAACCUAUGAUUUCGACAUGAAAUUCGCAUUCAUAUACGCUGGCUGGGAAGGCACUGCCCAUGAUGCACACCUAUUUAUGGAUGGAUUGAGUCAUCCAGGGAUCAAUUUCCCAUUGCCUCCUGAGGGACAAACUGUUGAGGAUAACUCGGAACAUUUGUUGCAUAUGCCUGACAUGUCAUCUGCCUCAGCACAAGCCAUGGCUGGAACCAGAGACUCUAUCGCAAUAAAUAUGUGGGCACACAGGGAGGCCCAUUGACACUUGCUUUAAUUUUAUUGUAUUGUAUG
Juglans regia (Persian walnut) is the source of this 1514-nucleotide long non-coding RNA. RefSeq lists it as uncharacterized. The transcript has 4 exons. Lineage: Eukaryota; Viridiplantae; Streptophyta; Magnoliopsida; Fagales; Juglandaceae. The record is from RefSeq and is a predicted model, not a curated record.